GAUGAACGCUGGCGGCGUGCUUAACACAUGCAAGUCGAACGGAAAGGCGCCGAUCUGGCUACUCUAGCGGUGACCGCGUGCGUGAGAGGAACAUAACGUGACCUUGCCUACGGGACUACUAUAGGUAACUGGGGCUAAUACCGGUACGGGAUAAUAGCUGCAUGGUGGGGGUUGGAAAGCUACGGCGGGUUUUGAUGGAAUUGAGGCAUAUCUGCGUGUAGGUGGGGUAGUUGCUUACCAAGGCGUUGACGGGUAGCCGGCCUGAGAGGGCGACCGGCCACAUUGGGACUGAGAUACGGCCCAGACUCCUACGGGAGGCAGCAGGGGGGAAUAUUGCACAAUGGGCGGAAGCCUGAUGCAGCAACGCCGCGGGCGGGAUGACGGCCUUCGGGUUGUAAACCGCUUUCAGCAGGGGCGAAGCUUGUGGUGACGGUACCUGCAGAAGAAGCACCGGCUAACUACGUG
This 465-nucleotide ribosomal RNA is filed under the name uncultured bacterium. RNAcentral describes it as "partial 16S ribosomal RNA". It matches the Rfam family "Bacterial small subunit ribosomal RNA", at positions 28 to 507 of the family's 1533-position model. The record is from RNAcentral.